AUGUACCCGUGUACUCCGGCCCUGAGCGCCAUCCACGUCCGCCUAGCGGCGGCUCGCGACGUUUGUUGGCG
RNAcentral lists this small RNA (71 nucleotides) under Xanthomonas citri pv. aurantifolii. RNAcentral describes it as "sX9". The record is from RNAcentral. Lineage: Bacteria; Pseudomonadati; Pseudomonadota; Gammaproteobacteria; Lysobacterales; Lysobacteraceae. RNAcentral also lists the same sequence under 2 other names.